AUGGUAAUUUUCCCUUUUCAGGUGUUCAGAGCUGACAGUGCUGCAGAUGUGCAUGAAGUGGUGCUUCCAGCCCCUGGCCAAUGCAAUCCCAGUGCCCAGUAAUCCCCAGGAAUCCCCACUGUCUGCCCCUGAAUGGGAGCUUCAUCCCCUCAGUGAAACACUCUUCCCCAGGUGCAAUGACUGAGAGGAUGAAGGAAGUGCUCCAGAUGGGGGACCCAUAAGAGCUGUGGGAACAGAGGAGACAUCACCCCAUCCCUGUGCACAGAGCUCCAGCUCACAGCUCCACUGGCCCUGUGCAGCCCAGCUGUGUGUACUGCAUCGUGAGCAGGUGGGUGUGAAGUGUUCUCAUUGCUGCAGGGUUAUCCAGGUCUCUUUGCCCUCAGGAUUUGAUCAC
This 394-nucleotide long non-coding RNA is filed under the name Cyanistes caeruleus (blue tit). Its description in RNAcentral is "lncRNA (ENSCCEG00000014895.1)". The record is from RNAcentral. Lineage: Eukaryota; Metazoa; Chordata; Aves; Passeriformes; Paridae.